CAUACGGGUGGCAGCAGUGGGGAAUAUUGGACAAUGGGCGAAAGCCUGAUCCAGCCAUGCCGCGUGUGUGAAGAAGGCCUUCGGGUUGUAAAGCACUUUCAGUGGGGAAGAAAGCCUUGGGGCUAAUACCCUCGAGGAAGGACAUCACCCACAGAAGAAGCACCGGCUAACUCCGUGUCAGCAGCCGCGGUAAUACGGAGGGUGCGAGCGUUAAUCGGAAUUACUGGGCGUAAAGCGCGCGUAGGCGGUCUGAUAAGCCGGUUGUGAAAGCCCCGGGCUCAACCUGGGAACGGCAUCCGGAACUGUCAGGCUAGAGUGCAGGAGAGGAAGGUAGAAUUCCCGGUGUAGCGGUGAAAUGCGUAGAGAUCGGGAGGAAUACCAGUGGCGAAGGCGGCCUUCUGGACUGACACUGACGCUGAGGUGCGAAAGCGUGGGUAGCAAACAGGAUUAGAUACCCGAGUAGUC
This 465-nucleotide ribosomal RNA is filed under the name Vreelandella stevensii. RNAcentral's name for it is "partial 16S ribosomal RNA". It matches the Rfam family "Bacterial small subunit ribosomal RNA", at positions 338 to 795 of the family's 1533-position model. The record is from RNAcentral. Lineage: Bacteria; Pseudomonadati; Pseudomonadota; Gammaproteobacteria; Oceanospirillales; Halomonadaceae.